Molecule: ribosomal RNA, 253 nt
Filed under: uncultured bacterium
Lineage: Bacteria
Description: partial 16S ribosomal RNA
Rfam family: Bacterial small subunit ribosomal RNA
Source: RNAcentral
UACGUAGGUGGCGAGCGUUGUCCGGAAUUACUGGGUGUAAAGGGCGUGUAGGCGGGGCGGCAAGUCAGAUGUGAAAUUCCGGGGCUUAACCCCGGCGCUGCAUCUGAAACUGUCGUUCUUGAGUGUCGGAGAGGAAAGUGGAAUUCCCAGUGUAGCGGUGAAAUGCGUAGAGAUUGGGAGGAACACCAGUGGCGAAGGCGGCUUUCUGGACGAUAACUGACGCUGAGGCGCGAAAGCGUGGGGAGCAAACAGG